AACAGGCUCCCGCCCCCUUCCCCCACCCGUCACAUACUCCGCGCCCCUCGAAGUCCGCGCCGCAAACAUCGGCAACCGCUUCGCCACCCCGCUCACCAACCCCCGCAAGCCCAUCGUCGCAUCCCGCCCCAACACAAUCCCCGCAGAAUGCGCCGUUGCAUUGCCUGUCCCCAUCGGCACCAGCGCCACAACAGGAGACACAAAGUCGUCCGCAGCCCUAACGGCCGUCAGGCCCUGUAUAAUCUCAACCAGCCCGCCAUCGCCAGCCAGGAGAAUGAUGGUCUGCGCGAUCCCGCGCUGGGCGCGCGGGCGGAAGAUAGUUUGCGUGAGGUGGGUGAUUGUGUCGGCGGAGG
RNAcentral lists this small RNA (353 nucleotides) under Histoplasma capsulatum var. duboisii H88. Its description in RNAcentral is "Histoplasma capsulatum H88 hypothetical RNA". The record is from RNAcentral. Lineage: Eukaryota; Fungi; Ascomycota; Eurotiomycetes; Onygenales; Ajellomycetaceae.